UUUAGAACCCGAGAUAUGGACUGAACAUUGAACAGUGUCUGGGCUGCAGGACAAAUUCGGACUUCUCUUUUGAUGCUAAGAUUUGGACUCCAAAACGGCAGAAUUGAGUCUUGGACUCUUCAUAAAUGUUUUAGGCCUAUGUCUUAGCUUUCUAGC
Non-coding RNA from Populus trichocarpa (black cottonwood), 156 nucleotides. The record is from Rfam. NCBI's taxonomy places the organism in Eukaryota, Viridiplantae, Streptophyta, Magnoliopsida, Malpighiales, Salicaceae.